AGGGAAAGGAAAAGCCGAACUUUAUAC
Molecule: non-coding RNA, 27 nt
Filed under: Bombyx mori (domestic silkworm)
Lineage: Eukaryota; Metazoa; Arthropoda; Insecta; Lepidoptera; Bombycidae
Source: RNAcentral